AACGAACGCUGGCGGCAUGCCUAACACAUGCAAGUCGAACGAGACCUUCGGGUCUAGUGGCGCACGGGUGCGUAACGCGUGGGAACCUGCCCUUAGGUUCGGAAUAACUCCCCGAAAGGGGUGCUAAUACCGGAUAAUGUCUUCGGACCAAAGAUUUAUCGCCUUUGGAUGGGCCCGCGUUGGAUUAGCUAGUUGGUAGGGUAAAAGCCUACCAAGGCGACGAUCCAUAGCUGGUCUGAGAGGAUGAUCAGCCACACUGGGACUGAGACACGGCCCAGACUCCUACGGGAAGCAGCAGUGGGGAAUAUUGGACAAUGGGCGAAAGCCUGAUCCAGCAAUGCCGCGUGAGUGAUGAAGGCCUGAGGGUUGUAAAGCUCUUUUACCCGGGAUGAUAAUGACAGUACCGGGAGAAUAAGCUCCGGCUAACUCCGUG
This 433-nucleotide ribosomal RNA is filed under the name uncultured bacterium. Its description in RNAcentral is "partial 16S ribosomal RNA". It matches the Rfam family "Bacterial small subunit ribosomal RNA", at positions 29 to 507 of the family's 1533-position model. The record is from RNAcentral.